RNAcentral lists this long non-coding RNA (562 nucleotides) under Coturnix japonica (Japanese quail). Its description in RNAcentral is "lncRNA (ENSCJPG00005002922.1)". Lineage: Eukaryota; Metazoa; Chordata; Aves; Galliformes; Phasianidae. The record is from RNAcentral.
CCCAUAGUGACCCCAUAGACCCCAUACCCCAUAGGGACCCCAUAGAGACCCCCCACCCCGUAGGGACCCCCCCCCCAAAUCAACCCAUUCCCCCAUUGGAAAGGCUGGAGUUGGGGAGGGGUCUCAGGAGGGAUUAUGGGGGGGUCUGAGUGGAAAAUGGGGGGGGGGUCCCUAAAAUGCCCCUGGGACCCCCAUAGAGACCCCCCCCAAAUUGCCCCAUUGGAAAGCCUGGAGCUGGGGAGGGGUCUCAGGAGGGAUUAUGGGGGGGGGUCUUACAGUGUGUGCUCCCCCCCUGGGGGGCAAAAUAAGGGGUUAUGGGUCCCUAUGGGGUGUUAUGGGGGCCCUAUGGGGUGUUAUGGGGUGUUAUGGGGUCUCUAUGGGGUCUUACUCAGUAGGAUGCUCUCGGCCCGUCCCUCCCCCAAUAUGGGUUCGAAGAUCCUCAAUAGGGGCCGGGCCAGCUGCUGCUCCAGGUAAUACUGAGUGUCCAGGGGCAGGUUGUGCUCCAGGGCGUAAAUGGGGUCCUGGGGAACUUACAGGGUCAGUGGGGUCACGGGGGCUAUGG